Molecule: long non-coding RNA, 825 nt
Organism: Dendronephthya gigantea
Lineage: Eukaryota; Metazoa; Cnidaria; Anthozoa; Malacalcyonacea; Nephtheidae
Exons: 3
Source: RefSeq, a predicted model, not a curated record
AUAAAAAAUUUGUGGUCUAUUAUAACCAAGCUCUUCGUUGAAUACUUUCCUAUACUCUUGUCUUUGUAUCCUGAGCAGUUAUGGCGGCAAAAAGGCCACACUGUCGCGAAAUUCAACAGGUACCCAUCCUUUCAAUGAAAUGUGCCUUCACUACUGUUCCUUAGAAGUAAAGUGGAUCAGCUCACAUCAAUUGGUGUACGUAUUGAAAUAUGUCCAUUAUAAUGUUCAUUCAAAGACAAGCAAAAUUGCCUCAUAUGGAAGACCAAUCCUUCAAAAAUGGUCUAUAGAUAAUCGUUGACUUAUCUUAUUUUAAAUCCUGUUGUAAUCAUAUGCAUAUAUAGUUCCAUUAUAAUGUUUAUCCAAAGACAAGCAAAAUGGCCUCUCAUGUGAAAGAUCAAUACUUGAAAAAUGGUCUUCAUAAUCGCUUACUUAUCCUAUUUUUAUUUAAAUCCUGUUGUAAUCAUGCAUAUAUAUAGUUCACGAAUAUAAUACCACGAAUAUACCCCGUUCGAUUUAAACUACUGCAUGUAUUUAACCCUGUGAAUGCAAUCACAUGCAUUGUUAAAUUGCGGUGAUCGUAAAACCAUGUCGGUCUACCGGCUAUAUAUAUUAUAUACUUUGAUAGUCACUUUUGAAAGUUGUUAAUCUUGGGGUCAAAUAUCGCGCACAUGCAAUUUCAUGCGCUGAAACGGAUUUCAAAUUUCAAAACGGUAGACCGUCAGCUGCACGUUGAUGGUCACGGGCAAAAUUUAUUUCGUUCCCAGAUCACACAAUUCUAACAUCCACACAUAGCGCAAAUAGCCCUGCAUGUCUCAUGGUCGUGUA